GAUGAACGCUGGCGGCGUGCCUAAUACAUGCAAGUCGAGCGAACGGACGAGAAGCUUGCUUUUCUGAUAUUAGCGGCGGACGGGUGAGUAACACGUGGAUAACCUACCUAUAAGACUGGGAUAACUUCGGGAAACCGGAGCUAAUACCGGAUAAUAUUUUGAACCGCAUGGUUCAAAAGUGAAAGACGGUCUUGCUGUCACUUAUAGAUGGAUCCGCGCUGCAUUAGCUAGUUGGUAAGGUAACGGCUUACCAAGGCAACGAUGCAUAGCCGACCGGAGAGGGUGGUCGGCCACACUGGAACUGAGACACGGUCCAGACUCCUAGGGGAGGCAGCAGUAGGGAAUCUGCCGCAAUGGGCGAAAGCCUUACGGAGCAACGCCGCGUGAGUGAUGAAGGUCUUCGGAUCGUAAAACUCUGUUAUUAGGGAAGAACAUAUGUGUAAGUAACUGUGCACAUCUUGACGGUACCUAAUCAGAAAGCCACGGCUAACUACGUG
Molecule: ribosomal RNA, 497 nt
Filed under: uncultured bacterium
Lineage: Bacteria
Description: partial 16S ribosomal RNA
Rfam family: Bacterial small subunit ribosomal RNA
Source: RNAcentral